UACGUAGGGUGCAGGCGUUAAUCGGAAUUACUGGGCGUAAAGCGUGCGCAGGCGGUCUGCUAAGAGAGAUGUGAAAUCCCCGGGCUUAACCUGGGAACUGCGUUUCUAACUGGCAGGCUUGAGUGUGGCAGAGGGGGUGGAAUUCCGACGUGUAGCGUGAAAUGCGUAGAGAUGUGGAGGAACACCGAUGGCGAAGGCAGCCCCCUGGGCUAACACUGACGCUCAUGCACGAAAGCGUGGGAGCAA
Molecule: ribosomal RNA, 246 nt
Filed under: uncultured bacterium
Lineage: Bacteria
Description: partial 16S ribosomal RNA
Rfam family: Bacterial small subunit ribosomal RNA
Source: RNAcentral